CUUGGGUACUUGAGUGGCGAACGGGUGAGUAACACGUGGGUGAUCUGCCCUGCACUUCGGGAUAAGCCUGGGAAACUGGGUCUAAUACCGGAUAGGACCACAUUUUGGAUGGUGUGGUGGAAAGUUUUUCGGUGUGGGAUGAGCUCGCGGCCUAUCAGCUUGUUGGUGGGGUAAUGGCCUACCAAGGCGUCGACGGGUAGCCGGCCUGAGAGGGUGUACGGCCACAUUGGGACUGAGAUACGGCCCAG
RNAcentral lists this ribosomal RNA (248 nucleotides) under uncultured Actinomycetales bacterium. RNAcentral's name for it is "partial 16S ribosomal RNA". It matches the Rfam family "Bacterial small subunit ribosomal RNA", at positions 82 to 334 of the family's 1533-position model. The record is from RNAcentral. Lineage: Bacteria; Bacillati; Actinomycetota; Actinomycetes; Actinomycetales.